UGAGGAACAUGACCUUCGGCGGGGAUAGCCGGCCCAACGGCCGGGUAAUACCGCGUACGACCACAUGGGGACAUCCCCGAGUGGUGAAAGCAGCAAUGCGCCGAUGGAGUGCCUCGCGGCCUAUCAGCUAGUUGGCGAGGUAACGGCUCACCAAGGCGACGACGGGUAGCUGGU
This 174-nucleotide ribosomal RNA is filed under the name uncultured bacterium. Its description in RNAcentral is "partial 16S ribosomal RNA". It matches the Rfam family "Bacterial small subunit ribosomal RNA", at positions 118 to 291 of the family's 1533-position model. The record is from RNAcentral.